GAAAAAGAAGGAAAUGAAAGAUUCCUCUGGCAGCCUUCCAUUUAUAAAAUGAGCAUAAUAAUACUCAUGGUUUUUUGCUUUAUGGGAAUGCCAUGAAGAUAGGAGAGGAACUGGACCUGGGAUUUCAUUCGUGUAUACUCCAGAGCCAUCUGGGUCCAGUAGCAAGAUAUAGAUCAGAAUGACUGAAGAUGGCCCUGGAUGCAAUGGGAGACCUUGGUCUUUUAAAGCUUUUUCAGAUUUGAGUUUGACUGAGACAACAGCCCAAACAGUGAGUAACUAGGGUCCAUAGGUUUUUACCAGACUGCUGGAGGAGUCAAAGCACAAAAAACAUGAAGAACCCCUGACUUAACUAGAGAAAAUUGACUAGAGGGAUUUGGUCAGUGCCAGAGGGGGCUGAGAAAGCGUCCCCGGUGUCUAGUUUUCCUUGCAUUGGAAUGAAAGAUCAGAAUUGAAGCCUGAAUCUCUGAAGACUGGAAAGGAAACCUAGCUACCUCCCUCCCUGCUCCAGGCUCAGACUCUUCCUACUCCCCUCAAAGAGACACCCCAAGGGUUUGAUCCAUUUUGUGGUAUUGAGGCUCAUUUCGUGCAUUUGUACCAAGCCACCACAAGGUGGCCGCCGCAGCACGUGGAGCUAGCCCGCGGAUCUUGGCAAGGCUGGAAACCCAGCUUUGGAAUUCUAGCUCCAGCAUGGUUCUCUGGAGGACUCGUGUGUCUCCCCCUCCCCCAUACCCAGCAAAAUAAAGAUAACAAGAC
Molecule: long non-coding RNA, 753 nt
Organism: Antechinus flavipes (yellow-footed antechinus)
Lineage: Eukaryota; Metazoa; Chordata; Mammalia; Dasyuromorphia; Dasyuridae
Exons: 4
Source: RefSeq, a predicted model, not a curated record